GAAGAGAGCUAAAAUGGCGGAGGUUGUGAGUCCCUGCUUUGACUCUGUUUGCAAACUCUUGUUUCAUCGUUUAAGCGAUUAAAUCUCUCGAGUAGACGCUGUCUCUUUAGAUGCGAGGGCAAAAUAGCACUUUAUGGACUUACACAGAGGACAUCAUGUUUAAUACGGUUCCGGAAAAAUCCAGUCAGAAGUUGUUCACGGAGUUUUCACAAUAACUGCUUCUCAUGAACCGAACCUGGACGUCUCCUUCUGAAAGUUGGAUUAACGUUACUGUGCACUUCUGGAUCACAGGCUGUAAGUAUUCACGUUUAUUAUUUGCCUUUUACUGUACAUUACGUAACCGGUAACCGGAGAUUAACAUAAUGUGCGUGUAGAGCUAAGCUUGCAAGCGAACUGUUUUGUGUUGUAAUACUGUAUUUCAUAAACAACGUACCAUAUUUACACACGUGUAUGUUGAAUUAUGCAGACUAUCGUUUUUUUAUCGAUGUUGGUUAAGACAUGUUUACAAACUUGCUAAGUUACCAGCUAAACUGUUACCGGUAAAAUUUGUUCUCAUGAUCAAACUCAAGAAACUCUAAGUACAGAUGAUUUGUUUAAAGUUAUAUGUAUUUUACUGUUGUUUUUACUUGAAGCUUUCUUAGAUUUUGAAACGAAGUAAACACGUAAUGUGUGUUGCUAAUGUUGGGCCAUGUAACAUGUAAUACAUUUACGUUUUAAUGAAUAGUCUAACGAGUUAUAGUCGUUGUACUCUAUUGUUAUAAUAUGUCUUUUUGACUGAAUACAUGUUUGUUUUAUUUGUCUAUAUCUUAGAUUCGCAGCUGGACACAUCCUUCUACACUGUAUGCAAACAUGCAACAUCAUAACACACAGUACAAGGAGUCAGACUGGCAUAUGAGGAGCAAAGGAACCCAGACAGUAGCAUCGUUUCACAAUGUUUCCAUCACCAUCAUCAGUGGAUGCCUUUGCCGUCCGUAGCCUGAGAUUUCAGAUUUGCAGCAAAAAAAAUUGAUUUUCUCAUUUAUUGGAAUGCUAUGCAGGUUGUACCUUGCAGCCAUCCAUUACAAUGUCACCAAGCCGUAACAAAAGCAGGAGAGGGAAAGUACAAGGCUAUGUUCCCAAAACACACAAAUGACAUACCUUAUGUGGAUGAUGUGAUCAGGCUUGUGUUUGCUGAGGUAUUUGAAGAUAAGCUGAAGGAAACCCCGAUUCCAAUGGACCUGGCAUCACAGUUUGAGAGACCUUCAAAGGAGGACGUGAUUGCAUGCCAUCUUCAGUGCAGGGGUCGUCGGAAGCCAACAUUCCGAUCAGGAAGCUCCAAGCGUAUCUGGAGAACAACACACGACAGGAUGAUAACCCUAAAGUGUCAUCUUAGAUAGCAUCAGCUGACAAAGCUUUGAUAUGCCAUUUAUCUGAAUAGAUAGCUGUAAGAAGUGAAUUGAACAAUUUUUGAAAGAAGAGCACAAUAUGGUUACUAAAGUAUGUUUAUUUGUAUAUUGUUUAACAUUUAAAUAUAUAUUUGUAAUAAAUAAACUUUUGACUGACUUUUAUAUUUUCUUUAAAGUUACAUCUUUUGUUCUUUUGGGUAC
Paramisgurnus dabryanus is the source of this 1586-nucleotide long non-coding RNA. RefSeq lists it as uncharacterized. The record is from RefSeq and is a predicted model, not a curated record. Lineage: Eukaryota; Metazoa; Chordata; Actinopteri; Cypriniformes; Cobitidae.